AUGAAUAUGUCUGUUGGUGUGUUAUCUUGGAAUGUCAGGGGGCUCAAUAACCCCGCUAGGCGUAGCUCUGUUCGUUUGUUUCUGCAAACCUGUGAUGUAUCACUUGUCUGUCUCCAAGAAUCUAAAUUGGCCAUGGUGGAUGCUGGGGUGGUUAGUCAAGCUCUGGGCCCUGCUUUUGAUGGGUUUUCCUUCCUUCCUGCUGAUGGGACCAGAGGGGGUAUUAUUAUGGCCUGGAAGCAGGACUGCUUGCAUAUUUCU
RNAcentral lists this ribosomal RNA (258 nucleotides) under Triticum aestivum (bread wheat). RNAcentral's name for it is "partial small subunit ribosomal RNA". Lineage: Eukaryota; Viridiplantae; Streptophyta; Magnoliopsida; Poales; Poaceae. The record is from RNAcentral.